UUUCAGUGGCGUGUGUGCAGAAGGAAAUACCUGAACAAAACAUGUUUCCAGCUGACGUCUUCCCUGGGUGUUUCACAUUCCAACAGAGCAAAUGGGGCUGGAUGGAGCCUGGAAGCAGCCGUGGCUGAUGGAGGGAUCCAGCCUGAGGUUCAUCUCCCAGAGCCAUGUAAGGAGCCGGGGACGGUGGCAACCAGUAUGACUCCAGUCUCAGAGUUAACCACAACUGCUCCAGCCUUCACUGAAAGCACAAAAAUAUACAUCCAGCCAUGGAAAAUGUUUCUUCUUUGCUUUGUCCUCGCAAAUCUCCCUCUGGCUGUUGGACACAGCAAGUCUGGCAGGGACAGGGCUGUGCUGAGUCUUGUUACGCUCAGCUGGUGUCCUGGCCACCGAGAACCUGAAG
Long non-coding RNA from Calidris pugnax (ruff), 400 nucleotides. RefSeq lists it as uncharacterized. The transcript has 3 exons. The record is from RefSeq and is a predicted model, not a curated record. Lineage: Eukaryota; Metazoa; Chordata; Aves; Charadriiformes; Scolopacidae.